GAGCAGGGGGCAGGGGGUUGGGGGAGAGGAGAACCCAGAGGAGGGGAGAGGGAGCCAGGGAGGGGAAGGCAGCCAGAUGACAGCCGAGGAGGAAGGGUGCCCUCCCCCCAAAUACAGAAGCAAGUAUCUAUGACCCCAGCUGGCCAACGACCAUCCCAAGGACUCAGAAAUUCAGGUGAGUUCAGAACCCGCUUUCCCUCCCGGGUCUGGGACUCGGGGUGGUCCAAUUUCCUCUCUAUGUGUACCUCAGAAAAAUCAUCAGAAUGAGGGCCCAGGAAACAGAAGUGGACUUGAGGCGGCCUGACAGCAGUGAGUUGAUGGAAGAGGAUACCCCCCAGAGGCUGCUCCCCUUCCAGGCCCCAGCCCUCGCCUGGACCCCAGCUCUCCCCCACCCCACGGUCAGGAAGCCCGCCUCGCCCUGUUUGCCCCACCCUGGGACAGACCCUGCAGGCAAACAGGGGCUUCUGGGGACCCUCCCCGCAGAGUCCCCACCCAAAGGCCUCUCCCUCCCCGAGGCGGGGGAGGGCGGGUCCCGAGAUCUCAGGCCUUGAUCCCUUUGCCAUAGGCACGACUUCCUGGCCACCCCCUCUGCCUUCGACUGCCACCCCCUCAUCCCCUCAACAUUCCACAGCCCCCCCCCGCCAGCAGAAGGCACUGCUGCCCCACCAUCCCUGCGGUGGAAACCUCCCUAUCAUGCCGUGGCCUUUGCUCACUGCCACACGCCACCGGGCAUCCUCUACCCCCACAGGGGUGCCUUUCCCAGAAGCAUCUGGGCUGUCAGACCGCACAGAGCCACGUGGGGACAGGACCGGGCGCCGGCUGCCUUGGUGGGGCCUCUGCUGCCCUCCCGUGGGCUGCAGGCAAGAGAGCCCCUGGCCCGUGGCAUCAAAGGUGUCGCCUCCUCUCCUUGCCUCCUGGGGGUAGCACCCAGGGGCCUCCUUUCCUCUGUGGAUAUAAGACGGUUCAGUGUAAGGACAGUGCUCAGAACAACGCCUGGUCCUUAGGGAGAGCUCGAUAUAUGUUAAUAUCACCCUCUAAAUUAAUCCUCAUAGCAUCCCUGUGAGGUCAGCAUUAUGCGCCUACUUAACUGGUGGGGAAACCGAGGCAGAGAGAGGCGAAGCCACUGCCCCGAGUUUAGCAGCACUAACCGGCUGAUCAGGGAUUUGAACCCAAGUCUAUUGGAAGCUGUGCUUUCCAGGCUUUCCAGUCUGCGCUGGUUUGGCAGCCGGCUUUGGNCACACACACACACAUUCAUACACACCCUGUACCCCCACCCCGCGGGAGGGGAUGAGAGGCUGCACCCCACCAAGAGGAGGAGGCGGAGCCUUUCUGAGGCACCAGCCUCCUGUUCGGGCUCCAGAGCAGCACGCGCGCCACCUGGUGGCCAUGAUAGGUAAAUGCCACCUCGGUCCCAGUCUACCCCUCCCUGCCCGCAGCCUGGCGCUUCCUGUGGCCCCUGGGGCUAAGGUGUGUGCUGAGGCUGCAGAGCUGAUUCUGCAGAGCUGUUGCGUCCCAGGUUAGGCCCCCAAACCAGGGCAGACUGGAAAGCCCCAGGCCUGGUGGCUGAGAGCACAGCUUCCAAUAGACUUGGGUUCAAAUCCCUGACCAGUGGGCUAAACUCAGGACACGGAAGUCGGUUUCCUUUCCACUGAGCUUCCUCCAGGGAUGGAGAAAUGAGCCAUCCCCGUGUUGCUGUGCUUGGGCUGCUGGUGGUUUGGGACAGGUGUUGCAGCAGAAAGUUCAUUUUGCUGAAAAUACAUCGUAUAUUUCCCCCAAAUGCCUAUUCUAGUUAAUAUUCUUUUUCUUUUUUGGCUGCACCUGAGACAUGCAGAAGUUCCCAAGCCAGAGAUCAAACCUGCACCACAGGAGUGACCUGAGCCACUGCAGUGACAAGGCUGGAUCCUUAACCUGCUGCAUCAAAAGAGAACUCCCCUAUUCUUUUCCUGAUUCCUUUAUGUAAGUGACAGGUUAUUCCAGAGGCGCUUUCCCCACUUAGCCUGGUGCUGGCGGCUCAACCCAGCUCUUCCUCCUCCUCCAAGCUCGCUCUGCUCCUGGGUCUGGGGGCGCCCGGCUGCAUCUCCCUCCCAGGCUUUCCUCCCAAGCUGCCGCACUGGCUCUUCAGCAGCCUGGAGGCCUACCCCACCAGGGCACGUGGCGGUCCCCUCCAAGGGACCUGCCUCCAAUGUGACUUCCUACCUACCUGCUCCCAUGGUUGUAAGCAAUCCUCAUCCAGUUAACUCACUCAGGUUUAACUACAAUUUCCACAGCACAGGUGAAAGUUGGGGGUGCAGGGAGGGGUCUGAGGAUUUGGACAACCUGGAGCCGGAAGCCAGACCCCGGCUGACUUGGUCCAGAAGCUGCAGGGGCCCAUGGGGCUGGAUGGCUCAGGAGGACGGUUGGGGGCAGGAUGGGACCUAACAUGCAACGGGAAAUGAAGAUUUCCAGAUGACUUUUCACGUGGGCAGUAAACCAAGCAUCGGGCCCCUUGGAGCACCUGGGUCAGGUCGGACAGGAGGUGAAGGAAGCCAGGCGGGACUGUGGCUCUGGGCCUCUUCAGCCAGGUCCAGGGUAGGUUGUAGGAGAUGUGCCUGCUGCCUUCCCACAAGGUGACCCCCUCCCCAGCCUCCCAGGGGCCCCUUGUUGAGAGUAGAAAGGCCCCUUGGGUCCUGAGAGCCAGAAAGCAGGGGCGACAGAGAGGGGGCACUGCUGCUUUCUCUCCUUUGACCAGAUCCCUCCUCCCUGUCAAUCCUCGUCUCUGACCUCAAAAUCCCCAGAUAGGAGCUCCCGUCAUGGCUCAGCGGAAAUCCAUGAGGACACAGGUUCGAUUCCUGGCCUCCCUCAGUGGGUUAAGGAUCUGGCGUGGCCAUGAGCUGUGGUGUAGAUUGCAGAUGCGGUUCGAAUCUGGUGUUGCUGUGACUGUGGUGUAGGCUGAUAGCUGUAGCUCUGAUUCAACCCCUAGCCUGGGAACCUCUAUAUGCCAAGGGGGUGGCCCUAAAAAGCAGAAAAAUAAAAUAAAAUAAAAUUAAAUUAAAAAAUAAAAUAAAAUAAAAUAGGGAGUUCCCGCCAUGGCUCAGUGGAAACAAAUCUGACUAGCAUCCAUGAGGAUGCAGGUUCGAUCCCUUGCCUUGCUCAGCGGGUUAAGGAUUCGGCACUGCCCUGUGCUGUGGUGUAGCUCACAGACCCAACUCUGAUCCUGCAUUAUUUUGGCUGUGGUGAAGGCCAGCAGCUGCAGCUCCGACACAACCCCUAGCCUGAGAAUCUCCAUAUGCUGCGGGUGUGUCCCUGAAAAGACAAAAAAUAAAAUAAACGAAGCUCCCAGACAACCCAGAGGGAUUCUCAUAUCAGGACCAGUAGCUUCCCCACCCCCCCACGUCUCCCCACACUAGGUCCCUGGGCCAGGAGCAUUUAAAAUGUGCGGCAGGAGUUCCCUGGGGGCUCAGUGUGUUAAGGAUCCAGCGUUGUCACUGCUGUGGCUCUGGUUGCCUCUGUGGCACAGGUUCACUCACUGGCCUGAGAACUUCCACAUGCCACAGAUAUGGGCAAAAAAGAAA
Molecule: long non-coding RNA, 3551 nt
Filed under: Sus scrofa (pig)
Lineage: Eukaryota; Metazoa; Chordata; Mammalia; Artiodactyla; Suidae
Description: lncRNA (ENSSSCG00025072266.1)
Source: RNAcentral